This 478-nucleotide ribosomal RNA is filed under the name uncultured bacterium. Its description in RNAcentral is "partial 16S ribosomal RNA". It matches the Rfam family "Bacterial small subunit ribosomal RNA", at positions 28 to 507 of the family's 1533-position model. The record is from RNAcentral.
GAUGAACGCUAGCGGCAGGCCUAACACAUGCAAGUCGAGGGAGAAGCCCUUUCGGUGGCAGAAACCGGCUCACGGGUGCGUAACGCGUAUGCAACCUACCUUUCACAGGGGGAUAGCCCGAAGAAAUUUGGAUUAAUACCCCAUAAUAUUAUUGGAUGUCAUCAUUUGAUAAUUAAAACUGCGGUGGUGAAAGAUGGGCAUGCGUCCUAUUAGCUAGUUGGAGUGGUAACGGCACCCCAAGGCUACGAUAGGUAGGGGUCCUGAGAGGGAGAUCCCCCACACUGGUACUGAGACAGGGACCAGACGGCUACGGGAGGCAGCAGUGAGGAAUAUUGGGCAAUGGUCGGAAGACUGAACCAGCCAUGCCGCGUGCAGGAAGAAUGCCUUAUGGGUUGUAAACUGCUUUUAUAUGGGAAGAAUAAGGCGUACGUGUACGUUGAUGACGGUACCAUAUGAAUAAGCAACGGCUAACUCCGUG